Meleagris gallopavo (turkey) is the source of this 3500-nucleotide non-coding RNA. The record is from RefSeq and is a predicted model, not a curated record. NCBI's taxonomy places the organism in Eukaryota, Metazoa, Chordata, Aves, Galliformes, Phasianidae.
UAACUUUUCAUCUCUCUCACAGGAUCUUACGUAACUGCCAUGAUGACGCAUCCAGAUUUGCUUACCUUGUAGCAAAGCCCAGCUGUGGUUACCUUGAGCAGGAGGACUUCAUCCCGCUGCUUCAGGAUGUGGUAGAAACGCACCCUGGUCUGACGUUCCUAAAGGAUGCUCCAGAAUUCCAUUCCCGGUAUAUUACUACGGUAGGCUGGCUUGUUCCAUCUCCUGUCACAGUGCUGUACCAGCCCUCAUUUUGUUAUUUGUCACCAUUCCCAGAUCAUUCAUUUAUUGCAAAAAUACAUGGUUUUUAUAUUGCUAGCAAGAAGUUGCAUUCAGAAUUUCUUCAGAACAAAAAAAUAAUCAAUCUGUGUAUAAGAGGUCACUCACAAGGGUAGUAAUGAUUCUUUGUGGUCUUAAACAAAUCUUUAAAACAAUUUUGGCCUUUAAUUAUGUUGGAGGAAAAUAAGAGUGCUCCUUCUUUGGUCUUUGAGAGCUACUAAGUUACCCCUAAUACUACAGGGCUGCUGUGGCCUGGGAGGCCAUUUGAAGAUUUCUGUCACUUAGGCGUGGGGACUCUGAUUGUUCCAUGGUACAAGGCAUCCAUUGCACCACUGUCCAACUCUCCUGCAUCUCACUUGCCAGAACGCCUCUCUAGUCCUUCUGAAUCACUGAUUUUUUUGUGACUACUGCUGGUAGAUCUGUAGCUUUGUUCCCACUCUGCAGUCAGAAGUUAGAUUUGUGCUUUACCUGAAAAAGUUUGUACUUUUAUUUUAAGCCUGUGUUGUGUUGGGUAUGAAUAUGGAUAAAAGAUAUAAAUGUGGAAUGUUUGAUCUCUGCAAUGAUAAUAAACUCAGAUAAAAAUGAGUCUGAGGAGAGCUUCAUCUCAGCUGGGCUUAGAGCUUUUCUGAUUGGCUUUUCUUAUUGGCUCUGUGGGGACCUGCUGCACCACAUAUCGGCAGCUGGAAGAUUACUGGCAGGCACAGACUUAUCCCUUUCUUGUAAGGAGCAGAUGGCAGAGGAACACUGCUGCUUCGGCCAUAUCCAGUGUUUGUGAAUCUGUAUAACGAGAGACAAUUUCAAAUGUCUAAACACUCUUGACUAUGGUGGUAAAUGUCAAUGUAGUAUCAGCAUCUUCAGUCCCCGCAGAGCGAGACAGCAGAUAUGUUAAGCAUAGUACCUGGUCAGAGUAGGUAUAACAAAUGUCCAGGUGAUUUUGAAGGCUCGUGAAUGGAUGAAUUGCUGUGAUUUCUGGACCACACCAGGUGCUGUGUGUGUUCUGGUUUGAGACAUAGCUGCACUUCAAGAUAACUGAAAUCUAGGCUACUACUAAAAAGAGAAAUCCUUUCCUUCCUUUUAUUUUCUUACAACUUCCCUUGUACCUGGAUGAGCUAUGUCCUGUGUGACAGUCAAAUUUGGGCACAGAAUAAGAUCCUUCAUGUGUACGUGAAACUUCUCAAUGCUUCUUGAUUCUGCUCAUCUCCUCUGUGCUUUCUUACUUCAGCCUGAGAGCCUUUAGACACCCCUCUGUGUAAUCCUGUUCACAAUGGUGGCUUCCUAAGCUUUCUCUCUGGCACCCAGGAAAUGAUGGUGCUGGUGUUUGAAGUGAACACUGUGUGGCAGCGAAUCUUACAAAGCUGUGACAUCCUUCACAGACUUCUCGUGCUUGCAGAACAACUCUGUUUUGGGUGUCUCUUCUGACAAACAGAUUCCUCCUGAGCUCUGUGUUUGGCCUUGGCUGGAUCACUGAGCUGGAGCAGAGUCCUAGACCUAAGCAGACACAAAGUCUAUUGGAUCAGGUUGGUCCCAUGUGGAGUAGCAAUACGUGGCCCACUGCAAUAGUGCCUCUCCUCUCUGACAGCAGAAAUUCCUAUUUCUCACAUGUCCAUUCAUGAAUAAUUUGGCACUUCUAUCUUUAAUGUCAUGAAAUUGAGUAUUUCCACCAGGAGGUAAUGAAGGAAACAGCUUUGUCCUUGGAUUUUGAGACUGCCUGGACACUUUCAUUCCCUUCAAGAUCAGGGCCAUAAAGAGACACUGGCUUUUGUGUUCAUUAUUGAAUAUGGCAUCACUUGGUUGAAAUCACCUGGAGAAGGUAGACUCCUGAAACCGAUGAAGAGGAUGCAGAAUAUCAUGAGACAUUUAACAUCACUUCUUCCAGAAUGUGCAAAGAAAGCUCACUGUUAGCAGUGCAUGCUGUUGUUAAAAAUCUGAGUCAACUGAAAACAACUUAUCAAAACUUACUGCUUGGUGAAAAAAAACGUUCAGCUUAUUACUCAUGUGAAUGUGGAAAGUGAAGAUGGCCUACAGGAUUUAAUAAAGAUUUGGGGUUUUUUGUGUGUUUGUUUGUCCCUCCCCACCCCUCCCCAAAAUUGUGUUGUUUUUCUUUUAUGGGGAUAUUGGGAAAAGAUCUGGAACUAACCCAUCAAUGGUUUUGGACCUGGAGAUACUUUACAUGAUAGUAUUGGGCAAAUAAGGAAGGAGCUUCCCCCUUCCAAAGGCUCAUGUACUCAAUUCAGAAUAAACAGACUUCCGUGCCAGGAAGAAGGGAGCCAGAGUCACAGCGUACAAGGAUGUAGCUGCUGAGUAGAAGUGCAUGUAGCAGCUUGGGCCUGAGGCCAGUUACUUACUUGGUUUCUAAGCUUACAGCGCAGAUGUAAUCAUGCAGCAGGUGCUCUAACUCAGAAACAUAAAGCAGGCAGACCACAGGAGUUAAUUUUCUAUCACAGUAGACACUGGCUGUUUGAAUGUUGCAAAUCAUGUCAGCUUUAUUAUAAUCUCCUACAGUAUUUCCCAAAUGCUUUUUUUGACAGCCUUGUCUUUGUAAGCUGGAAAAGAGAGAAGUGUAGACACUGUGUGUGUGUGUGUGUGUGUACUUGCAGUUUACUACUCACCAAAACUACCAUUGUUUGAAUAAUAAAGCCUGCACUGAGUGACUGGAUACAGUAGAGAGGAGGUGAAGAGAGAUUCCAUCUUUCCCCUGUACGCCUUAUUUUUACAGCUGAUGAGAGGGGAGCAGAGGGUACAUCCUUAUCAAUAUGAUCUGACAGAGGAAUGGUUUCUUUGAGUCACUAAGGGAGAUAUUUUGCUGUCUGCUAUUACCCAGCAGGCGGAGGAAAAGAAAAAGACUGCUAGCUAGGGCUUCUUUUUCUAUCCUGAGAUUUUUGUUUAUGUCCUUGGAAUCUGUAAAAGCUGUAUCUGUGAAUUGCUAGAGUUGACAGGUGUGGUAAUGGAUCAUGUGUGAGGUGAGACACUUCAGCUGAAGUUCUCUGAACUGGCUAGCAAAACCUGGAAGCAAAGCCCAAACAAAAUUAAAAAAUAGUCCAGAAUGGCAAUAGUUGCCAGCAACAUUGAAGAAGGAAGACACAGCUUUGAAUUGUUUAAGACCAGAAAAGACCAUUAUAAUUCCCUGGGCUGACCUCUGGCAUUACACAGACCACAGAACAUUGCUCAGUGAUUGCUAUAAUUAGGAUAAAUUUUCUUUUUGAUAGAAUUAAUGCACAACUUCA